AUACGAAGGUCCCAAGCGUUAUUCGGAAUCACUGGGCGUAAAGAGUACGUAGGCGGUUUGGUAAGUCAGGUGUGAAAUCCCGAAGCUCAACUUCGGAACUGCAUCCGAUACUGCCAGACUCGAGUAAUGGAGAGGCAGGUGGAAUUCUCGGUGUAGCAGUGAAAUGCGUGGAUAUCGAGAGGAAGACCAAUGGCGAAGGCAGCCUGCUGGACAUUUACUGACGCUGAGGUACGAAGGCUAGGGGAGCGAAAGGGAUUAGAAACCCCAGUAGUCC
RNAcentral lists this ribosomal RNA (274 nucleotides) under uncultured bacterium. RNAcentral's name for it is "partial 16S ribosomal RNA". It matches the Rfam family "Bacterial small subunit ribosomal RNA", at positions 523 to 796 of the family's 1533-position model. The record is from RNAcentral.